RNAcentral lists this ribosomal RNA (796 nucleotides) under Salmonella enterica subsp. enterica serovar Reading. RNAcentral's name for it is "partial 23S ribosomal RNA". It matches the Rfam family "Bacterial large subunit ribosomal RNA", at positions 711 to 1508 of the family's 2925-position model. The record is from RNAcentral. Lineage: Bacteria; Pseudomonadati; Pseudomonadota; Gammaproteobacteria; Enterobacterales; Enterobacteriaceae.
AGACCCGAAACCCGGUGAUCUAGCCAUGGGCAGGUUGAAGGUUGGGUAACACUAACUGGAGGACCGAACCGACUAAUGUUGAAAAAUUAGCGGAUGACCUGUGGCUGGGGGUGAAAGGCCAAUCAAACCGGGAGAUAGCUGGUUCUCCCCGAAAGCUAUUUAGGUAGCGCCUCGUGAAUUCAUCUCCGGGGGUAGAGCACUGUUUCGGCUAGGGGGCCAUCCCGGCUUACCAACCCGAUGCAAACUGCGAAUACCGGAGAAUGUUAUCACGGGAGACACACGGCGGGUGCUAACGUCCGUCGUGAAGAGGGAAACAACCCAGACCGCCAGCUAAGGUCCCAAAGUCAUGGUUAAGUGGGAAACGAUGUGGGAAGGCCCAGACAGCCAGGAUGUUGGCUUAGAAGCAGCCAUCAUUUAAAGAAAGCGUAAUAGCUCACUGGUCGAGUCGGCCUGCGCGGAAGAUGUAACGGGGCUAAACCAUGCACCGAAGCUGCGGCAGCGACGCUGAUGCGUUGUUGGGUAGGGGAGCGUUCUGUAAGCCUGCGAAGGUGGCCUGUGAGGGUUGCUGGAGGUAUCAGAAGUGCGAAUGCUGACAUAAGUAACGAUAAAGCGGGUGAAAAGCCCGCUCGCCGGAAGACCAAGGGUUCCUGUCCAACGUUAAUCGGGGCAGGGUGAGUCGACCCCUAAGGCGAGGCCGAAAGGCGUAGUCGAUGGGAAACGGGUUAAUAUUCCCGUACUUGGUGUUACUGCGAAGGGGGGACGGAGAAGGCUAUGUUGGCCGGGCGACGGUUGUCCC